CCAACACAUUCAAUAUAAGUCUGGAAUCAUCCUUCCUUUGAUCUCUAUCAUUCCAUUCCUUCAUCCUUUUUUUUAGAAUAUUCAGGUAAAAUUGUCUAGCUGAUUGUACUCUUGAAAUCUUAAUGAUUAGUCUGCUAUUGCAUUAUUGGAGGCAUUGCUUACAGGUCGAUAAGUUGCAUUGCAAGUGGAUCCAUCAUUAUGUUGGUCACGAUAUUCAGAGAUGCUUUGUUAGAUGGAUGGAUGUCCAUUGACAUUCGCCUGGCUUAGAGCAAGUUAAUCGGAAUGAAUUUGGAAGAACAGUUCCCAGUUUGAA
This is a long non-coding RNA of Nicotiana attenuata, 313 nucleotides long. RefSeq lists it as uncharacterized. NCBI's taxonomy places the organism in Eukaryota, Viridiplantae, Streptophyta, Magnoliopsida, Solanales, Solanaceae. The record is from RefSeq and is a predicted model, not a curated record. The transcript is spliced from 4 exons.